UACGGAGGGGGCUAGCGUUGUUCGGAAUUACUGGGCGUAAAGCGCGCGCAGGCGGUCUUCCAAGUCAGUGGUGAAAGCCCGGAGCUCAACUUCGGAACUGCCAUUGAAACUGUUAGACUUGAGGACGAGAGAGGUGAGUGGAAUUCCCAGUGUAGAGGUGAAAUUCGUAGAUAUUGGGAAGAACACCGGUGGCGAAGGCGGCUCACUGGCUCGUAUCUGACGCUCAGGCGCGACAGCGUGGGGAUCAAACAGG
This 253-nucleotide ribosomal RNA is filed under the name uncultured bacterium. RNAcentral's name for it is "partial 16S ribosomal RNA". It matches the Rfam family "Bacterial small subunit ribosomal RNA", at positions 524 to 776 of the family's 1533-position model. The record is from RNAcentral.